AAGAGAAGAGAUUAGAGAUCCACACACACAGUACUCAUUAUUACCAUUCACUUUCACUGGCGGCCAACUCCAAAACCCUCCUUUUCUUUUGAAUUCUGAUAUUAUUCUUGACUUGGGUUUUCCUUUGAUGCCAUAUUUGACUCCUUCGUAUUCUAAUGGCUACUUCUACUCCCGAUAAUGAAGUUCCCAACGCUUCUCCCAUCCCCAAAGAAGUAGAGAAGCCUCCGAUUGAGCCCAUAAGGUUGCCCACUGUUGAGGAAAUUCGCGGCCAAGACAUUUGGAACAACUGUGCUGUUCGUAGUGUCUUUAGUGGAGUCAUGGGUGGCGCUCUUGGGUUGGCCAUGGGUUUGUUUAUAGGUUCUCUAGAUAAUCCUAUAACUCGAGAUGAGAUGAGUGGUAAGCAGCAAUUUGUUUAUCAGGCAAAGCAGAUGGGGCGCAGGAGCUGGAGUUCUGCAAAGGCAUUUGCUGUUAUGGGAUUUGUUUUCUCUGCGUCUAGAUAAGCAAACUUUACAAUAUAAACUUAGCAAGAGAAAAGUAAUUCAUUACACAAAAAAAAAAGAUAAUCACAAUUCACAAAUUGCAUAUACUGUGUAACCCAUUUAUUCUUUUUAUUUUUCUCUUUCACAACAACAAAAUAAUAUAUACACAAAACCCAACCAAAUUAUCUAAAUGAAAAUGUAUGAUAUUUAAUUAAAACUACAAAUCUCUUCUGCAAAUCCAAGUUUAGAGCCUUUAGUAUCAUAAAUAACCCUUUGAUUCUUCUGUUGAUAAUUUCCAAUAAUACCAAUUUCUUCUUCAUAAGCCAAACUUGCCAAAGCCAAACAAAUCUGAGAAGCAUCAGUUUUAACCAUAUACAAAACACCAGUCACAUCAAUACUCAACUCAGCAGCAUUUCCAUCAAACUGCAUUUUCAAUGUUGGAAGGUUGAUUUGAUCAUACCCACUCAGAUUGAAACACGUGUCCAAUAUUGAAAAUCCAGGUGCUGAAGGAAACCCAGAAAAUUGUUUCACAAACUCUUCUUUCACAAUCUUGUAAACUGAUGGAGCUAGCCUUGUUAUGACUGUACCAGAAUCAAUCAAAAUCCCACCUUUACCAAAAGAAUUAUUAGAAGAAGAAUUUGAAAGUGAUAAUGCCACUCCACCAACACUAAUUCCAGUCAUGUUGAGAAAAUAGAAAGUGGGCAGUUGUGGAUUUUGUACCAUUUUGGUAAAUAAAAUUGGUGUUGAAUUUUUGUAAGUAGAUGAGUCAAAUCCCAUAACUAAUGAGCCUGAAGCAUUAGGCUCUGUACUUGAAGGUAAACAAUAAGAGAAAACUCCUUUAAACAAUGAAUCAGUUUGAGAAAUUAAUGAGAGAUCACUUCUUCCUAACCCCAUUAGUCCUGAGGCUCCACCAAACAAGCCCUUGUUGUUUCUACCACACCCGAAAACAAAGCCAUUUACAGGAGUUGUUCCGAGUUUGAGAUGUUCACUACCAAUUUCACCACUUGUGUAUGAUCCAUCGCCAUAGCUAACCAAGAUUGAGGUUUAUUGAAGUUUAGGAGGCUCCACCUCUUCUUCAUCGAGUUAUGGCCCGUUUUGGAAGUGUAAGAGCUCCAACACACAUACAUAUAUGUUUUUGUAUAAAUAUAUUUUUGAGUUCAAGGCUGUCUUUGGUUUUCCAGGAAAAUAUGUAUUUUCUUAGCAACCAAACAGAGUUAAUAUAGCUGUAAUGGACUAUGAUUAGGGCUUUAUAAUGCGUUCAUGCUCUGAAAACAGUUUGAUGAUGAAUUGUUUCUUGUUUUUCUUAA
RNA transcript from Cannabis sativa, 1786 nucleotides. It is a transcript of the gene named mitochondrial import inner membrane translocase subunit TIM22-1-like, with no coding region annotated. The transcript has 3 exons. Lineage: Eukaryota; Viridiplantae; Streptophyta; Magnoliopsida; Rosales; Cannabaceae. The record is from RefSeq and is a predicted model, not a curated record.